UGGUUUCGCUUUCGUGGAAAUCCUAACGUCAUAAGACUGUAAGUUUCGCUUUCCUGACAGUUUGAUAUAAUAGGAUCUACAUCGUAUUCAGAUAGCCAUGCAGCGCACAGACGCCUCACGCACUUUCACACAGCAAGUGAAGACUUAAUAUUGUUAAAGUUAGUGGCAUAACCAUUGUGUCACCAUGGGAGUCAGAGGACUGAAGACCUACAUUGAAAGCAGGAACAAAAAUGAUUUAAGGAGCUGGGCUUUUGGAGACAAGAAACUUAUAAUUGAUGGAUGUAAUUUAUACUACACCCUGUACUUUGACUAUAAGUUGGAUCAGAUGCAUGGAGGAGACUAUGACGCCUUUGAGGAGUUGAUCACAGAAUUCUUUAAGAACCUCACAGCCUGCGACAUUCACCCUUAUGUUGUACUUGAUGGCGCAGCUGACCACACGGACAAAAAAUGGGAAACUAUUAGGCAACGAAAACAGGAUAAAAUAAAUGCAGCCUUGGCCGUGUCUGAGGGGAAGAAAGAAAAGGUCCUUCCUAUUCUCAUUGGUAAUGUUUUCAGACAGCUUCUUCAUAAGCUCAAGAUACCGCUGGUUCAGUGCAUUGAAGAAGCUGACUGGGAAAUUGCUGCUUUGGCUGAAGAGUGGAACUGUCCAGUUUUGUCCAAUGACAGUGACUUCUAUAUAUUCAACCUCAAGGCGGGAUUCCUGCCAAUCACACAUUUCCAGUGGGAAACCGUGAAACAGGACAGACGGACAAACAAAAAAUUCAUCCAAGUCAAACACUUUACAGUGAGAAAAUUCUGUGCAUCUUUCAAAAUGAACACAAACCUUCUACCAGUUUUUGCUUCUAUCUUAGGCAAUGAUUAUGUGAAGCUGCAAAAUAUCAGAUGUAUGAAUUGGGCAGAGCACUCAGUUACGGACACACUGCAUCCCCACAUUGAUGGCUUGCUUAACUGGUUAUCCCAGUUUCCAGGGCCAGAAGUGGCUGUAAGUGCUUUGUUGAAAACAAUGUCCGACAAUGAAAAAGCCAUCACCAAAGAAGCACUAUCCAAGGGAAUCCAAGAGUACAAGCUCUUCCCUGGCUCUCUUGCCAAGUUCUUCCAAUUAAAGAUGAUUCCACCUACAACUUGUAAAGGACGUCUGCAAGUUCUACCUCAAUGCACCUUGAUGCUCCUACUUGAGGGAAAGAUGAGCUCCUCCAUUAUCGAUGCAGUAAUGAAUCAGAGGGUUUUAAUGACAUCUCAAGUUGAAGAUUUCCAACUCCCCUGUAGCAGUGAAAUCUCUCGCCCCAUACGCCAGGUGAUUUACGGGUUACUUUUGUUGGGAGAACAAAGAUCUACUGGCACAAGUAAGUGUUAUGUGGAGGAAUACUUCAGACAGCAAACAAAACUAAGCAGUCAGAAAGUUGAAGGCUUACAGACCAUGGAUGGACUUCAGCUAAAAACUUUAUUGGAGGAACCACUCAGUGUGCGACUUCAGGUGCUCCUGGACACUUUAGGUGUGUCGUCUGAGAUGUUAAGAGGGAUCCAACCUGAUCUACAUCUGCAAAUAUUUGUGACACGUUACUGGCUAGUAAACGCACAGCCUCAGCCGUCCCAAAUGCAUCUUUGGGGGCUGCUGCUGGGAAUGGUCUAUGGAAAGUUCAGCAGUACACUUAAAGGACAAAGAGACAUGCUGUUGGGACCUAAGAAACUACAAACUGCUGGAAGAAGGAUUGAUCUGGAGCAUGAAACGGCUCAUCUAUACAGCCAGUGGCAGUCCUGCCUAAAGUGGAGUCUCAGUCUCAAUAGUUUACUGUGUUUUCCGGUGUCUGAACCAGAGAUUGUAAGUUUGUACUCUGGAACACGUCUGCACCAAGUCGUCCGUGAGCUCAGGAGAGGCAGGCCUCUGGACAGUCUGCUGGAGAGGGGUUCGAGCGCAGAGCGGCUCUUCAAACAGCUAAAGGACGUAGUUGAAAGCUUGGUUGGUGAAAACUUCAUCAAGAGAAUGAGAACCGGGCUCGAGCAAAGAACUGUUGGGAACACACACAGAGACUACAAUGGCCAUAAUCAGCCUAUAGAUGAACUGAGCAGUUACUUUGAACAUCUGAUGUAUGAGUAUGACUAUGAAGAUGAUGAUGAUCUUAAUGAGAAUUUAAGGAAAAGUAAAGCCAAGUAUCAUCCUGACAUUUCCUGCACCAUCCGUACCAGACACAAGUCUAAAGCUCGCAAUGCUAAUCAUCCCUCAAAAAAAUAUGAAAGGAGUUGCUUUGAUUAGACCUUAAAGGACUUUGCAAAUGUUUGCAAGAAUACACUUAUAUUGGAAAUGAGAUAAGACAUGCCAGGAAACCAGAAUAUGACAGCUUGUCUACUGUAUACCACAAUCACAUUAUUUAUUGAUUUAAGAUUAAAAAUCAUUUUAUGAUAUUUGCAUUAAGGUGUUGGACUUUGGAAUUUUGGUAAAUUAAGGACUGUUCACACAAAAGAUGAUAACUAUAAUGAUAACGAUGAAGAAUCACUAUCUUUAGAAUAACUUUUUCAGUUCCAGUUGAUGAAUGAUAAAAACAUUGACACCCAAUCAGAUUCAGUUCUGCUAUAACUAGGUUAAGAAUUAAUGGCCGCAGGUGUGGACACUAAUAUGUGCUCAUUCUUGGUGUGAAUGGGCCUUUAGACUAUGGUUGUGUCAACGCAAAUUCAACCUAUUCAACAGAGUAUUUUAAGUAACAUAAGCUUUUUAACUGAAGUAUCAAAUUUAAAUAUUUUCUAUUUUAAUCUUUCUUUUGUGUGUAAAUAACCUUACAGAUUUCUAUAUCACGGCAUAAUGUAUUAGUUGUUCUACACAUACACAGAUUAUGAGCACAAAAAGUGUUAUAUAUCAAGUCUAAACUUUAAUUUUUCAUGUAAAUUAUCCUAUUGCCUAGCACUAACCUGUUUAAAACAGUUAGGCACUUAGGUAUUACAAACAUUAAAAUCAUGGGUGUCAAUGAUUUGAAUGGAAUAAAAAUGGACUUGAUUUGAAAAUGUAGUGCAUGCAUGUUUUCCAAAAUGCAGUUUAAAAAAAAAUCAACUUCAGAUGCACAUCUUUUCAAUUUGUAAAAAUUUUAUUGUACAAUUGUGUUCUGAAAUGACUACAACAGAUUACUGGUUUCAGCUGUGCAAAACACAAUAAAAUAAAUACAAUCUUAAAAACAUUUAUUACAAAAAAAAAAAAACCCUUCAAUGAUAACCCUUCAAUUUACAUUUUUAUACUGCUUCAUAUCAGUGUAUUACACGGUUUGUUUUCAAAGCAACAGCAAUGCUAGAAAUCAAACAAAGGGCAUCUCACCAAUUAAUAAAUGUGGACAAAGUGAUGAUAAAGAAACACUACCUGCAAUAGAAAGGACAAACAUGAUCGCACACUGCAAAAACUCAAUUAUAUCAUUUUCAGCUGUAUCUUAUUAACAUGAUACAGUGUUGGCAGAUGGGAAUAAGACAAUGCUGGUGGGCUGCACUGAGGUUUUUUGGCAUGGGUAGGUGGAGGGCGGGGGGGGGGGGGGGGGUGUCAGGACUGGUGAGUUGAAUAUUUUUGUACAGCCAAAAUAAGCAUCCAUUUAACUGACGACUACAUCAUUAAACUCUUAAAAAAAACGAAUAAUUCACCUAACUGAGCACCAAAAAGGUGAGGAAAUAAAUACCACUAAAGGAUAAGCCAAAGUAAAGUCAAAAGCAUUUUAUUUUCAGAUGGCCCUAAUACCAGUGUAUUAACACAAGGAAAGUAACAAGAUAGUAUUGAUACUACGCAAAUACAGAGGAACUGAUAAGUAAUUGUACAAGCCAGUUGUAUUAAUCAUCAGUCUAAUAUAAGAACCAAUAGUGCAUGUAUCUUGUAGGUCAUCAAAAAGUGGGACCAUGUAAUCUGGUAAGACCAUCAUAUUGUGGGUUCCUGUAUCUUCAAAUAGAAAGACAUUAUAAAAAGCAGAUUUCAAGAAAGCCUUUUCGGUGUUUUACUAUAAAUCAGAAACUAAACUGUCUGUUUCAUGGUGUUGUAAAAUGAAUAUGUCAUCCAUGAUGCUAUAAAGUUUAUUAUGUGACGAUUUAGCAUAUCACGUAUGUCUUAAUUCGCACCCGAGGGUCAUCAUGACCCAAAACAUGUGAUUUUAAGUGGCCCAUUCCAUCAAACACUGGACCUUCCACUCAUGGUUUAAGAGGGCACAAGCUUACAACAGUCUCCAAUGCUAAAUAAAU
RNA transcript from Carassius gibelio (silver crucian carp), 4197 nucleotides. It is a transcript of the gene named protein asteroid homolog 1, with no coding region annotated. Lineage: Eukaryota; Metazoa; Chordata; Actinopteri; Cypriniformes; Cyprinidae. The record is from RefSeq and is a predicted model, not a curated record. The transcript is spliced from 7 exons.